This 200-nucleotide ribosomal RNA is filed under the name uncultured bacterium. RNAcentral's name for it is "partial 16S ribosomal RNA". It matches the Rfam family "Bacterial small subunit ribosomal RNA", at positions 524 to 725 of the family's 1533-position model. The record is from RNAcentral.
UACGGAGGUGCGAGCGUUGUCCGGAUUUAUUGGGUUUAAAGGGUGCGUAGGCGGUCCAUUAAGUCUGGGGUGAAAGCCCGUUGCUCAACAACGGAACGGCCCUGGAAACUGCUGGACUUGAGUACAGACGAGGGUGGCGGAAUGGAUGCUGUAGCGGUGAAAUGCAUAGAUAGCAUCCAGAACCCCGAUUGCGAAGCAGA